Long non-coding RNA from Lycium ferocissimum, 332 nucleotides. RefSeq lists it as uncharacterized. The record is from RefSeq and is a predicted model, not a curated record. The transcript has 3 exons. Lineage: Eukaryota; Viridiplantae; Streptophyta; Magnoliopsida; Solanales; Solanaceae.
CAGCGUGAUAGACCUUUCCUACAAUAAGUUCGACGAGAGCUCUGAACCAUCUACCUGUCGGGACAACCUAAACUUAUUCAGAAGCUUUAAGGCCGGGAAUUUUGUGUAAGUGUGUUAACUUCAAAUAAAAUAACAAGGCUAUGAUGCUCUUGAAAAGGACUUAUCCUUUCUAAUACCUCUUUCAACUUCUAUAGAGAUGAUGGGAAGUGCUUGUCAACCAAACCAUGUUCAGAGGAGAAGUACUCACUGCACAUAAAUUGUGGUGGAGAAAGAGUAAUUAUUGGAAACGCUCCUUAUGAAGCAGAUGGAGACUCAGCAGGUGCUGCAAAAUU